CAUAGGAAAGGGAGGAGUGGUAUAUGAAGGGAGGGGUUGGUUCUCUAGUCCAUCACUCGGAGACAAAUGCACACCGAAAAUGAAGGAAAACAUUGGGAAAUACUUCCAAGUCACCUACUUUGCCGACUAUGAGACGGAUCCUCAAAAUAAUCCAUUGCUAAAGGCAGCUGCACUCCUGCUGGAGGAUGGACUGAAGAAGAAUGUCGUCAGUCAUAGCAUGCAGUUUAUGGAGGUAAAAAUUGUAAAAGGAGACAAAGUAACUUUUCAGUCAUUGUAUAACUAAAUAAAAACAAUUUUUACAAAA
Molecule: long non-coding RNA, 304 nt
Organism: Macrosteles quadrilineatus (aster leafhopper)
Lineage: Eukaryota; Metazoa; Arthropoda; Insecta; Hemiptera; Cicadellidae
Exons: 2
Source: RefSeq, a predicted model, not a curated record